UUAUAUGGCCAUAUAACGCUGCAUGUGCCCAAUCUCAUCUGAUCUCAGAAGCUAAGCAGGGUCAGGCCUGAUUAAUACUUGGAUGGUAGCCAAUUUAAA
Molecule: ribosomal RNA, 99 nt
Filed under: Cavia porcellus (domestic guinea pig)
Lineage: Eukaryota; Metazoa; Chordata; Mammalia; Rodentia; Caviidae
Source: RNAcentral